RNAcentral lists this ribosomal RNA (482 nucleotides) under uncultured bacterium. RNAcentral's name for it is "partial 16S ribosomal RNA". It matches the Rfam family "Bacterial small subunit ribosomal RNA", at positions 30 to 507 of the family's 1533-position model. The record is from RNAcentral.
AUUGAACGCUGGCGGCAUGCUUUACACAUGCCAGUCGAACGGUAACAGCACUUCGGUGGCUGACGAGUGGCGAACGGGUGAGUAAUACAUCGGAACGUGCCUAGUAGUGGGGGAUAACUACUCGAAAGAGUAGCUAAUACCGCAUGAGAUCUAAGGAUGAAAGCAGGGGACCUUCGGGCCUUGCGCUACUAGAGCGGCUGAUGGCAGAUUAGGUAGUUGGUGGGAUAAAAGCUUACCAAGCCGACGAUCUGUAGCUGGUCUGAGAGGACGACCAGCCACACUGGGACUGAGACACGGCCCAGACUCCUACGGGAGGCAGCAGUGGGGAAUUUUGGACAAUGGGCGCAAGCCUGAUCCAGCAAUGCCGCGUGCAGGAUGAAGGCCUUCGGGUUGUAAACUGCUUUUGUACGGAACGAAAAGCCCUCUUCUAAUACAGGAGGGUCAUGAAGGUACCGUAAGAAUAAGCACCGGCUAACUACGUG